Molecule: long non-coding RNA, 1622 nt
Organism: Dromaius novaehollandiae (emu)
Lineage: Eukaryota; Metazoa; Chordata; Aves; Casuariiformes; Dromaiidae
Exons: 7
Source: RefSeq, a predicted model, not a curated record
AGUGUGAUCUACAUAACUAAAUGGAAAUCCUUGAAAAUGAUGGGAAUUUUGCAACUGACUUCAGUGGAAGGAUUAUCACACUUGAGUCUGCACACAAACAGAGAAGCAAGGAGAUGUUUUAUAUGUUUGAAGUGGGAGUUGGGAAAGAUGUUAUGAUCAAAGGGGAAAAGAUGGAUUAGUAAUUGUCCCCACAAGUGGAUGAAAAAGAAGAACAUAUUAUAGGCUAAAAGUAUUGAACUGUUGAUAAAUAAUCAAUCCAUGGCUGUAAAAUAGACAACUUAAAAUGUAACCCUGUAGAGGACAGCAGUCUUCUGAACAGAAAUGCCUCUGAAGCUUUAAGGGAACCAGGUAUGUUGACUUAUUAAAAUGGAAAUAAUUUUUUUCAGCCCUCAGCCUUUGAAACUUUAUGCCUUCCACCUCUGGAAAUCUAGCUCACCCCUUUGCUGGAAAACCUAGUAACUAGUGAAAGAAGAUGCGAUGCAAUAGGAAACGCCGAGGGUACACAUUCACUGAAACUGAUGAAGCUGAACAGAAAUGGGGAAAAAGAGAGAUGAAAGAACAAACUGAACAUACAGGAGCCAAGUAAUGAGGAAAAGAAGAGAGACAAAGAGAGAGAGAAAGGGGGAGAGAGGAAAUGACUUCGGUAAAAGAGAAAGGAAGGAAAAAAAGAGAAGAAAGUGAAGGAGCUUCCCUAAAGAGCAAAGUAGAAAUGAUAAAGAGGAGGUGACUGCUUGCCUGGACACAGCUGAGCACUUCACUCAGGAGGGGUCUGAACUGCAGCCAACUCGAAUACCAAAAAUACCGUGCUGUGCUUUUCAGCAGAGAACUGAUGGAGACUAUGCUCUCACAAUGAACAUAUCUUGAGAAAUGUGGAACUGCUGAUAUGACUAUUACCAACAGUGGGAUAAAAACAGUUAAUUCCUAUUACCAAAUAAAGGGAGAUUAAUCUAGAAAAGGUUAAUGCAUGAUAAUUCUUGAAACACUCUCAUAAAGAACACUAGAUGAAUCAAAGAAAAUGCUUAGGCUUGAGCUGAAAUAGCACAGGGACAGUAAUUAGCCUGACUUCUAUAGGUGGUUUCUUUUGUAUAUCUGAUCAAGACGUUUAAUAAAAAACUUGGAUGCUGAUAUUAUUUAUAAGUGGUGUCUGCAUGUGUAGGCUUAGAGGGCACUGGAAUUGAUUUCUUUUUUGAAGAAUUUUAGUACAGUUUUUCAGUCCUGGAAAUUUAUGAGUGUCUAUACUUAACAUAUGAUUUAAGAAAUUGAUUUUCUUCCUUUAAAUUUAAUUGUAUAGAACAAAAAGGUAGAUUACGUAAAAGCAGCUUUAAAACAAGAUUUUCCUUAUAUGAAGUUGUACUUUUGAGAAAUGAGUUGGAAUCAUGCUUAUGGCAAAUCCAAUUUAGAAUUUGGUGAAUUUAACAUUUUUAUUGAAACUCAUAAAAAUGUAAAAUUUUAUAUACUUUGACAAUAACAUGUGUCUUCAAUACUUUUCACCAAUGUCAGAAAAAGCUAAUGUGCGUUUAAUGUAUUAUAUACAUACAAACUUAUAAAACUUCAUUUUUUUUAUCAUGCAUUCUGUAACUUAACUAUAAUUUCAGGUUUAUGAAAUAAAGGCUUGCACUACA